CUUACUCAAUUGUGAGCCUCUCUCCUAAUUGUGUCUCACAGAUGCAUAGUGAGGAGGUUAUUCAGCUUGUAUUUACAUCAUUACCCAUCUACCAUCAGAGUGUAUUGCUAACUGGUUCUCCUUACAAAUGCUUGUUGUGUUUGUUUUGUGUUUUUAAUUUUAUGUUCCACUGCUUGUCUACUUUUUCAUUGUUUUUAAUCCAAACUUCUACUUCAGCCUCUGCUCAUGAAGUCUCCCUCUCCCGAGUCCUUUGGGCUGCAAUAAUCAGACUCAAGCUGAGUGGAGACACACACUGAACAGAUGACAUGCCAGCCAAACUUGCCCCAAAAGUUGGGGAGGGAAAUGGUGCUCAACUGAAGGCAGCUGCUCUUGGGAGAGUCUUGACAGAGACCUCUGCAGCGAUAGUGCCUGGCAUCAGUGAUUGACGGGGAGCCAUCUGAUCAACUUUUGUUUCUGAAGGAAAACCCUGAGGAAACUCACUACCAUCCUCAGUGGCUGGUGGAUGGAUAAAGAGGUGGAAAGCAAGUUGGUAAGACUGCGGAUGGUCUUUCUUUUUCUCUUUCUUUUCCUUGUUUCCUCUCUCUUUUUUUCUCUUUCUUUCUUUCUUUUCUUUCUUUCUCUGUCUCUCGCUCUGUCUUUCUUUCUUUUCUUUUCUUUUUUUUGACAGAGUCUCACUCUGUUGCCCAGGCUGGAGUGCAGUGCUGCAAUUCAGGCUGACUGCAACCUCUGCCUCCCGGGUUUAAGCGAUUCUCCUGCCUCAGCCUCCUGAGUAGCUGGGACUAUAGGCGCCCACCACCAUGCCCAGCUCAUGUUUGUAUUUUUAGUAGAAAUGAGACUUCGUCAUGUUGGCCAGGCUGGUCUCAAACUCCUGACCUCAAGUGAUCCCCCCGCCUCGGCCUCCCAAAGUGCUGGGAUUACAGGUGUGAGUCACCGUGCCCAGCCAGAUGGUCUUUCUAACCAAACAACAGGGUAGCUGCAGGUCUCAGACCUUCUGUUUCUGCUUAACUGGUUGUAAAGAAUAUUCAUAUUGGUGGAACGAGAGGAAUGAGAAGGGUGGCUGUUUGCUUUCUGUGUGUGUAACAGAGAUGUAGAUGGUGGCUGUGUUACAUGAGAGAGGCCCAGAGGGCAGGAGAGAAGGAAGUGUCCAUGCUCACUAUUGCAAUUUAGUGUCUUAAGAUUCGUAUUUUGUUAAUUAUUUUGCUUGGUGAAAGUGACUUAACAUGUUUGAGCCAUAAGAAGAGACAACCAGAAAUGUGAUAAAGCCAAGAAAACUAUAGCAAAUGAUACUCUUGUGACAAGUCCUCCCCAUAAUGCCACACUGUUUUCCUCAAAUCCCCUCAAAGCACAUGGCAAAAGACAAAACUCCUGUCAACAAUUUCAGCUGCAAGUGAGAAUGAGAGGUUGGGAAAAUUUAUACAAUAGUAUGGUUCUCUCAGUUGUAUUCUUUGGUUAAAAUAUUGUCUUAAACUUCAACAGGCCACACUGUUUGUUUCAGUGUGGUUGAGAAAGAUGAAAAAUCAAAGCCAUUUCCUUUUACAAAAGCUUUCUGGAGGGCUGCUGAGGGUUACUUACCUUUGGGGGUGGCCCUUUGAAGGGAGACUGAGGAAGUGUAAUGGAAGGAACCAUGUGAGCAUUGGCCUGUCUGAGAAGUUAUCCAUGCUUUCCCUACAACCCCUCACCUGCAAGACGCCUCUAAGAGCUAUAAAAUCUUUCCCUCCCUUCUCUCCAACAGUCACAGACAGAGAUUGGCACUUCCUACAAGGCAGGCUUUCCAUCAUGUAGUUUGUAGAUUGUGUAAGUGGUUCUGAGAUGUGAAAUGCUCUAAAUCUCAUUUCCCCAUCAUUUUCCAAAAGUAUUUUUCUAGGUGAGAUUUCUAUCUCAUAGAUGGCAUUGAUAUCUCAAUGCAAGGACAGGAGCAACUCAUGCUGCCUGCUUUGACCACCCUCCCCCACACUUCAUCACCAUCCCUGCCUAACCCCUGGAGCAACUGUCCCUAAAGGGCCAUGGUGGUGGGGCCCCUGGCCUCAGAGCCUCCCCGCGUCCCCAGGCAGCUGUGGCAGAGCCCUGAACAUCACUCCUUCGGUGAUCCUUGGUCUCUCCUUCUCACCUGUAUGGGAAAAGAGACUUGGGCUGAGAAAUGCAUUCAGAUUUUUUCUGGCCUGUGGACUGUUUUCUUUCUAUGGUCUGAGUGUGUAGAGUGAGCAGAAACUAUGAAGAGCCAUGAGCAGUUCCGGGGGAGCAGCUGCGAGCAUCAUGGAAGGCCUCUGCCCUGUCGGAGAAGCCGGGAUCCUCUUCAGCUUGGACACUACAUCAGUGACACUGGCAUCUCCCCCAUGCCAGAGGGAACUGCACAAGACACUUCAUUCUCUUUAAUCUGCUCUACCCCGUCAUAUACCAUUGUUUAUGAUGCUAACAAUUAUGAUGGUGCAAUAGCACACUCAGUGACUCAUCAGCUCCCGCCUUCCAGAGGCACUCAGCUCUCACAUACGCGAGUUUCUGAUCCAGCAGCUCUGGGAUGAGGCCCAGGAAUCUGAAUUUCUAGGGGCUUCUCAGAUGAGGAUGAAGUUGUCGAUGUGGAGAACAUACUUUGAAAACCAUUGAGAAGAUGCCGAUCCUGCCAAUGCCAGCAGUCCUACUCUGCUGCUUCUCCACCCUAAACAUCGUAUUUUUUAAAGAGAAUCAGUUUGAUGAAUGACAUGUUAUUAGCAUUCUUGAUAUUCCUAACUACUAAUUCUUUCAGAGUACCUGCAUGUCUGGAUCCAGCCGUGACUACCAACUAAUAAAUAAUAAAGCCACUAGUUUCCUCUCUUCCUCUCUCCUACAUUCCCUACAUGGCAUUGAUCCUAAAAUGGCUACCUUCACAUCACCCAGGGAAAAAAAGGAAUUUAGGCACAAACAUAAGAAAACAUUUGAUAAAAAUAUUACUUUUGUAAUUUAGUAACCUAGUGAGAUAGAAAAACAUAUUUUAUCUGUUUCAAAAGUUGAAUUUCAUCAGCGUAUGGCAUAUGCUUCAUUAUACUGGUUAGUGAUGUCUGUUACAAACAAGGUUCCCAAAUGCCAUGCCAGCUUGCAUAGUUCUGAGAAAGAGGUCCAAAUAUAUUCCAUUGCAUUUCCCAAUUAAAAUUGUUCAUUUUGGAGUGAAGUUGUAAGAAUGAUUGUCCAGGCAGCCCACUCUUUUAUUUAUAGUCCUUUCAAAUUAAAUCUGAAGGCAUUUCACUGAUGAUUUGAUUCUGAUUUUUUUUUUAUGUUUCUCACAUUCAAUAAAUGUCAAAUUGCUGGACAGCCCCGACUCUAUCUUACUUAACUUUAAUUCUCCAGAUUCUAGCAUAUGCCUGGCACAUAGUAGGUGCUUAAUUCAUUUUUUGUCAAUUAAAGGGAGUAUGGGUGAUACUUUUACAAUUGAAUUAUGACCAUCCUGAGGGGACUUUUCCCAUAUGAUCCACUGCUUUAUAGUCUGCCAUAUAACCAAUCAGACCCCAAACCUUCAACAAAAAGCAGAACUAUAGACAAAGCCACCCAUCGGGGCAUGAGUGGUGUUGGGAUUACAUUAGUCAAUUGGAUUGAGC
Molecule: long non-coding RNA, 3566 nt
Filed under: Homo sapiens (human)
Lineage: Eukaryota; Metazoa; Chordata; Mammalia; Primates; Hominidae
Description: HSALNT0372892
Source: RNAcentral